Molecule: long non-coding RNA, 1823 nt
Organism: Sinocyclocheilus anshuiensis
Lineage: Eukaryota; Metazoa; Chordata; Actinopteri; Cypriniformes; Cyprinidae
Exons: 6
Source: RefSeq, a predicted model, not a curated record
UGACGUAAGCAAACCGGAAGUAGGGACAAAUAUUUUCCGGUGAAAGCGCUAGCCGAACAAUGGCGGAGUCCAAAAGUAAUCAGUCGUGUAGUGUACCUUUGUGUUCUAAUUCAAAGAAAAAGCAACCUUACUUAUCAUUUCAUAGUUUUCCCAUCGACGAAAAUGUAAGAAAGCGUUGGAUUUGGGCCAUACGGAGAAAAGAUGGGGCGGCAUUUACUGUGAGGAAAACUAGCACUUUUGUGCUAACUGUUAAGCACUUCACGGAAGAUGAGGUCCGUGUCCAUCCAGAGUCCGGUCGUAAGGCUGUGCCUUCCAGGUUUGCGUGGAACAGUUGGGGAGAAGUUAAAUCACGCUAGACUCGGACAUCAAAAGGAGGUGUUCGUGGUGCAGAGAAAGCAGUAGAUGUCGAAAUGGAGAGUGCUGGUGCAUGAUUACAACAGCCGUCCAGCCCCGGUAUCCUCUCAGAUUCUGAACACAUCAACCCCUCCUGACAUGUCAUCUUUCCAGUUUAAGAUAGCAAAACAUCAAUGUAUGUGCUAAAGUAGAAUUCAUCAACUUUAGCCUUGAUCUCUUUGAUCAGCUCAUCGUCUCUACACACCCUAUCUACAUUGAAGUCACCCCUUGUAUUUGUCACCAGAUCACACCAAGCUAAGCCAGUAACCAUCAGCUGACCUUGGACUUGCCAAUGGGCACUUAACUUCUACCAGGCCAUAGGAAGGUUCUUCAUUUGGGUGCACCACUUUGCCAUCUGGACUUGCACUAAGGUGUGGAGCAUCUGGGUGGAUGAUGAGACCAGAUGGAAGAACAUUAACAUCAAAGAAACGAUGCAUUGCUUUGGUGUGGGGGGCACCUUUAAUGAUCCGGCCAGCCCGUGUCAUUGCAGUGGAUUCGGACCUCACAUGAGCUGCUUCAUAGAACUUGCUUGCUAUGUCACCUCCAGACUCUGCAUAUGCAGGAGUUCAGCGCAGCUGCCAGCGACGAAAUUAUAUGGUGGAAGCUUGUAUUGUGGGACAGGUAAUGGGGGGAAUUGUGGAGCAUUUGGAUUUGUAAGUACAUCCUUUGACAGCACAGCUGGACACUGGUAUGACAGCAGUGAUCCUUUUGGGACCUCUCCAAAUUUAGAAGACACCAUGGUUAGAGCAGACAUUCCAUCAACUAUCUUCGCUAUCAGUGGUUGUGGACAACGGGAAAUGAGGGAUGCUGCUCCAGCAAUGACAUCAUUGUCAGGUAAAGGUUCUAAAAAAAGUUCAUGCCUCAGUGUUUUAAUUGUUACCUAAUGUGAAAAUGUGUUUUAUUAGUAUUUGGAUAUCGCCUCCAUAUGCUUUGUACAGAGUAGACUGCACAGAGCUCCUACCAGAGGCUUUCGGUUUGCGCACCACAAGCUCAUCGACUGGUUUGGGAGUGAUGCACUGACAAAACAUGUAUAUCUUGCACUAGAUUGCACUCUGAUUUGCACAUUAUGCAUUUUAAAUUAAUUUUAUUUGUUAAUGGUUGGCAAAUUAAAAUUGUUAAAAACUGACGAAUGAGGUUUCUGUCUUUAUUUAUUUAUAUUUACCUGGGUUCGGAGCCUAUGCCAGGCCUGCUGUUUGCUUGUGCAUGCAAGGGCAGCUGGAACAUUUUUGGUUCCAAUUGUACUAAAAUGUGCUGUCUGGUAAAGUAACCAGAUGGUUGCACAAACUUCUUCCAGCAGCACAAGAGCAUUGUAUAUGCUGCCACUUGAAGUGGAGUGUUGGCUUCAAGUGUAAUCUGAAGAAAGUGAUAGAAAGACAUAUAUAUUUCACAUCUUUAUUUAACCAUUGUGAGCUGUUCAGAGUGUACACUGU